GUUUGAAAGCACAACAAAGAAACUAGGCAUAUAGCAAACUAAUUAAACCCUUGAUUUACAUUAAUACACUAAGAUUGAAAACAAAAUCCAAGAUUGAGGUGAGAAUAGCAACAUUAGUUCAACAUCCUCCAACGAACAAUAGAGGGCUCUGAUCUGACCACAAUCAAUCAGUCUAUUUGUUCUGGUUCUUGAGUUGUCACACAAAUUGACCAAAUGCCAUUAGGUCUUCAUCGAUCGAGUUGUUCCAACAGCCGAUUAGUAAGUCUGUUGUGCUUGUUGAGGACAUAUACAACCUCUCUUCACACAUGGAUUUUUUGUCGUCGUUGUUGUUAUUAUUGAGAAACUCAUCGUUUGUGAGAUGAACGGUGGUGAUAUCGUGAAUACUAGGUCUCUUCCUCUCUUUCUCCCUUGAAAGUUGCCUCAAAUAGUACUUCUGAGCAUGACUAGCCACU
This 452-nucleotide unclassified non-coding RNA is filed under the name Hevea brasiliensis (rubber tree). The record is from RNAcentral. Lineage: Eukaryota; Viridiplantae; Streptophyta; Magnoliopsida; Malpighiales; Euphorbiaceae.